GGUCAAGCUACUAAGGGCGUACGGUGGAUGCCUUGGCGCCAGACGGCGACGAAGGACGUGGCUACCUGCGAAAAGCCUCGGGGAGGGGGAAGCACCCUUUGAUCCGGGGAUCUCCGAAUGGGGAAACCCUUCCGGGUAAAACCCGGAAACGGCCCGCUGAAUCCAUAGGCGGGUGCGAGCGAACCCAGGGAAGUGAACCAUCUCAGUACCUGGAGGAAGAGAAAGCAACUGCGAUUCCGUUAGUAGCGGCGAGCGAAAGCGGAACAGCCUAAACCCAGCGUUCCUCAUUGCGCCAUUGAACCAUUGUUUCAUUGCAUCAUUGCAAGAACGAGCUUGCCGGCUGUCUUCAAUGAACCAAUGACUCAAUGAAUCAAUGACUCAAUGCGGAGCGCUGGGGGUUGUAGGGCGUGCGUCGGUGUAGAACCGGAGAGUUAUCAAUCCGGCCGCUAGUCGAAUGACCUGGAAAGGUCAGCCAAAGAAUGUGAUAGCCAUGUAGGCAAAAGCGGACUGGACUCUUACGCGCGUUCCUGAGUACCGCGGGGCACGAGAAACCCCGCGGGAAGCUACGGGGACCAUCCCGUAAGGCUAAAUACGUUCUGGCGACCGAUAGUGAACCAGUACCGUGAGGGAAAGGUGAAAAGCACCCCGGCGAGGGGAGUGAAAAGUACCUGAAACCGUAUGCCUACAAGCAGUCGAAGGGCUACGUCUGGGUGGCAACAUCCAGGCAGGCCUGACGGCGUGCCUAUUGCAUAAUGAGCCGGCUAGUUAUUGUCCGUCGCCAGGCUAAGCCAUGAUCUUCCGGUUGCGACCGGGAGGGAGCGAGCCGCAGCGAAAGCGAGUCUGAAUAGGGCGUUCAGUGGCGGGCAAUAGACGCGAAGCGGGAUGAUCUACCCUUGGUCAGGGUGAAAGCCGCGUAACAGCGGCCGGAGGCCCGAACCGGUGUUGGUUGAAAACAGCUCGGAUGAACUGAGGGUAGGGGUGAAAGGCUAAUCAAAUUCCGUGAUAGCUCGUUCUCCUCGAAAUAGCUUUAGGGCUAGCCUCGGAUGAUAGCUCACGGUGGUAGAGAACUAGAUGGACUAGGGUCCGUUAACGGAUACCGAAUCCAACUAAACUCCGAAUGCCGUGAAGCAGAGUCCGGGAGUCAGACAGCGGGGGCUAAGCUUCGUUGUCGAGAGGGAAAUAGCCCAGACCGCCAGCUAAGGUCCCGAAGGCGUGGCUAAGUGGGAAAGGAAGUGAAGUCGCUCAGACAGCCAGGAGGUUGGCUUAGAAGCAGCCAUCCUUUAAAGAAAGCGUAACAGCUCACUGGUCGAGCGACUUUGCGCCGAUAAUUCAACGGGGCUCAAGCCACGUACCGAAGCUGCGGACUCCGAACCAUUGAGUCAUUGAGUGAUUUAGCGAUUGAGUGAUUUAGUGAUUUUGAGAUUGAAAAUACCUUUCAAUCGCUCAAUCACCAGAUCACAAAAUCACCCAAUGCCUCAAUGGUUCGGAUUGGUAGAGGAGCGUUGCGUACAGUUUGAAGCGGGACCGCGAGGGCCCGUCGACCGUACGCAAGUGACCCUGCCGGCAUAAGUAGCGAUAACGGAGGUGGGAACCCUCCGCGCCGAAAGUCUAAGGUUUCCUGAGAAAGGUUAAUCCGCUCAGGGUCAGUCGGUCCCUAAGGCGAGGCCGAAAGGCGUAGCUGAUGGACGGCCGGUUAAUAUUCCGGCACUGCGGCGGAGGCGUUAUCACGAGGCGGGGACGCAGGAGGCUAACGGAGAGUGCCCCAUUGGACAUGGGUCUUGCGCGCCUCAAGGAGGAUCCGGCAGGCAAAUCCACCGGGUCGGUUCAAAGCCAACUCUGAGGGGUGAGCCGACGGGCCUUGCGCCCGGUAAAGUCCGUGAUGUCACGCUGCCGAGAAAAACCGCUAAGGAGUCUCUUCCGCAACCGUACCCCAAACCGACACAGGUAGACGAGGUGAAUAUCCACAGGCGCUUGAGAGAACACUCGCUUAGGAACUAGGCAAAUUAACUCCGUAACUUCGGAAGAAGGAGUGCCUCGCUAGGGUUUACAGCCCGAGGAGGCCGCAGCGAAUCGCGCUCUGCGACUGUUUAACAAAAACACAGGUCUCUGCUAAGUCGAACACGACGUAUAGGGGCUGACGCCUGCCCGGUGCCGGAAGGUUAAAGGGAGAGGUCAUGUCCCGACGCAAGUCGGGACGGCAGCUUCGAACUGAAGCCCCGGUGAACGGCGGCCGUAACUAUAACGGUCCUAAGGUAGCGAAAUUCCUUGUCGGGUAAGUUCCGACCUGCACGAAUGGCGUAACGAUAGAGCGACUGUCGUGGCGAGUGACUCAGCGAACUUGUAGUACCGGUGAAGAUGCCGGUUUCCCGCACCUAGACGGAAAGACCCCGUGCACCUUUACUACACCUUAGCCUUGAACUAUGGGGUUGUCUGCGCAGGAUAGGUGGGAGGCUUUGAACCUGGGCUUUUGGGUCCGGGGGAGCCAACGGUGAGAUACCACCCUGAUGAUUCUGUGGGUCUAACCUUCGCCCGUGAUCCGGGUGAGGGACACGGCUAGGCGGGUAGUUUGACUGGGGCGGUCGCCUCCUAAAAGGUAACGGAGGCGCCCGAAGGUGGGCUCAGAUGGUUUGGAAAUCCAUCGUCGAGUGCAAGGGCAUAAGCCCGCCUGACUGCGAGACCAACAAGUCAAGCAGACACGAAAGUGGGGCCUAGUGAUCCGGUGGUUCUGCAUGGAAGGGCCAUCGCUCAACGGAUAAAAGGUACGCCGGGGAUAACAGGCUGAUCGCUGCCAAGAGUUCACAUCGACGCAGCGGUUUGGCACCUCGAUGUCGGCUCAUCGCAUCCUGGAGCUGUAGAAGGUUCCAAGGGUUGGGCUGUUCGCCCAUUAAAGCGGUACGUGAGCUGGGUUCAGAACGUCGCGAGACAGUUCGGUCCCUAUCUGGUGUGGGCGUAGGAGAUUUGAGGGGAGUUGUCCUUAGUACGAGAGGACCGGGAUGAACAGACCUCUUGUGUACCAGCUGUCACGCCCGUGGCACGGCUGGGUAGCGAAGUCUGGAAGUGAUAAACGCUGAAAGCAUCUAAGCGUGAAGCACGCCCCAAGAUCUGAUCUCCCAAGGGUGAGCCGUGGUUCGCUACCAUGGCGAUCCCUCUGAAGGGCCGCGGAAGACUACCGCGUCUAUAGGCCAGAGGUGUAAGUGGGGUAACUCACUCAGCUUACUGGUCCUAAUCGCCCGUUCGGCUUGACCAU
RNAcentral lists this ribosomal RNA (3247 nucleotides) under Terriglobia bacterium. RNAcentral describes it as "23S ribosomal RNA". It matches the Rfam family "Bacterial large subunit ribosomal RNA". The record is from RNAcentral. Lineage: Bacteria; Pseudomonadati; Acidobacteriota; Terriglobia.